UACGGGAGGCAGCAGUGGGGAAUAUUGCACAAUGGGCGAAAGCCUGAUGCAGCUAUGCCGCGUGUAUGAAGAAGGCCUUAGGGUUGUAAAGUACUUUCAUCGGGGAGGAAAAACAAAACUAAUAAUUUUAUUUCUUGACGUUACCCGAAAAAGAAGCACCGGCUAACUCCGUGCCAGCAGCCGCGGUAAUACGGAGGGUGCUAGCGUUAAUCAGAAUUACUGGGCGUAAAGAAGCACGUAGGUGGUUUUUUAAGUCAGAUGUGAAAUCCCUGGGCUUAACCUAGGAACUGCAUUUUGAAACUGAAAUACUAGAGUAUCGUAGAGGGAGGUAGAAUUCUAGGUGUAGCGGUGAAAUGCGUAGAUAUCUGGAGGAAUACCUGUGGCGAAAGCGGCCUCCUAAACGAAUACUGACACUGAGGGUGCGAAAGCGUGGGGAGCAAAACAGGGAUUAGGAUACC
Molecule: ribosomal RNA, 458 nt
Filed under: uncultured bacterium
Lineage: Bacteria
Description: bacterial SSU rRNA
Rfam family: Bacterial small subunit ribosomal RNA
Source: RNAcentral